This 771-nucleotide ribosomal RNA is filed under the name Salmonella enterica subsp. enterica serovar Mikawasima. Its description in RNAcentral is "partial 23S ribosomal RNA". It matches the Rfam family "Bacterial large subunit ribosomal RNA", at positions 2164 to 2925 of the family's 2925-position model. The record is from RNAcentral. Lineage: Bacteria; Pseudomonadati; Pseudomonadota; Gammaproteobacteria; Enterobacterales; Enterobacteriaceae.
GUGGACGCCAGUCUGCAUGGAGCCGACCUUGAAAUACCACCCUUUAAUGUUUGAUGUUCUAACGUGGACCCGUAAUCCGGGUUGCGGACAGUGUCUGGUGGGUAGUUUGACUGGGGCGGUCUCCUCCUAAAGAGUAACGGAGGAGCACGAAGGUUGGCUAAUCCUGGUCGGACAUCAGGAGGUUAGUGCAAUGGCAUAAGCCAGCUUGACUGCGAGCGUGACGGCGCGAGCAGGUGCGAAAGCAGGUCAUAGUGAUCCGGUGGUUCUGAAUGGAAGGGCCAUCGCUCAACGGAUAAAAGGUACUCCGGGGAUAACAGGCUGAUACCGCCCAAGAGUUCAUAUCGACGGCGGUGUUUGGCACCUCGAUGUCGGCUCAUCACAUCCUGGGGCUGAAGUAGGUCCCAAGGGUAUGGCUGUUCGCCAUUUAAAGUGGUACGCGAGCUGGGUUUAGAACGUCGUGAGACAGUUCGGUCCCUAUCUGCCGUGGGCGCUGGAGAACUGAGGGGGGCUGCUCCUAGUACGAGAGGACCGGAGUGGACGCAUCACUGGUGUUCGGGUUGUCAUGCCAAUGGCACUGCCCGGUAGCUAAAUGCGGAAGAGAUAAGUGCUGAAAGCAUCUAAGCACGAAACUUGCCCCGAGAUGAGUUCUCCCUGAGACUUAGAGUCUCCUGAAGGAACGUUGAAGACGACGACGUUGAUAGGCCGGGUGUGUAAGCGCAGCGAUGCGUUGAGCUAACCGGUACUAAUGAACCGUGAGGCUUAACCUUACAA